GGAGGGGCCUUGGUUCAGUGGUAGAGCAUCUGCUUGCUAUGCCGAAGGUCCCAGGUUCAAUCCCGGGCAUCUUCA
This 75-nucleotide transfer RNA is filed under the name Sphaerodactylus townsendi. RNAcentral's name for it is "tRNA-Ser". It matches the Rfam family "tRNA". Rfam says of the family: Transfer RNA (tRNA) molecules are approximately 80 nucleotides in length. Their secondary structure includes four short double-helical elements and three loops (D, anti-codon, and T loops). Lineage: Eukaryota; Metazoa; Chordata; Lepidosauria; Squamata; Sphaerodactylidae. The record is from RNAcentral.